RNAcentral lists this ribosomal RNA (514 nucleotides) under uncultured Flavobacteriaceae bacterium. Its description in RNAcentral is "bacterial SSU rRNA". It matches the Rfam family "Bacterial small subunit ribosomal RNA", at positions 527 to 1050 of the family's 1533-position model. Lineage: Bacteria; Pseudomonadati; Bacteroidota; Flavobacteriia; Flavobacteriales; Flavobacteriaceae. The record is from RNAcentral.
GGAGGAUCCAAGCGUUAUCCGGAAUCAUUGGGUUUAAAGGGUCCGUAGGUGGAUAAUUAAGUCAGAGGUGAAAUCCUGCAGCUCAACUGUAAAAUUGCCUUUGAUACUGGUUAUCUUGAGUUAUUAUGAAGUGGUUAGAAUAUGUGGUGUAGCGGUGAAAUGCAUAGAUGUUACAUAGAAUACCGAUUGCGAAGGCAGAUCACUAACUAUAUAUUGACGCUGAGGGACGAAAGCGUGGGGAGCGAACGGGAUUAGAUACCCCAGUAGUCCACGCCGUAAACGAUGGAUACUAGCUGUUGGAUUUUUUCAGUGGCUAAGCGAAAGUGAUAAGUGACCCACCUGGGGAGUACGUUCGCAAGAAUGAAACUCAAAGGAAUUGACGGGGGCCCGCACAAGCGGUGGAGCAUGUGGUUUAAUUCGAUGAUACGCGAGGAACCUUACCAGGGCUUAAAUGUAAGUUGCAUAAGUUAGAGAUAGCUUUUUCUUCGGACUACUUACAAGGUGCUGCAUGGUU